AUGGUGCAGACAAGAAAACAUAUUGUCUAUCCCUUGGUUUCUCGACUUUUGAAGCUAGCACUAGUAUUGCAUGUUUCCACUGCUACAGUUGAGAGAUCUUUUUCGGCUAUGAGAAUUGUGAAGACAUAUUUGCGCAAUCGUCUUGGUGACGACGCCUUGAAGUACAAAUGGAGAAAAGCGAAAUGA
RNAcentral lists this ribosomal RNA (186 nucleotides) under Triticum aestivum (bread wheat). RNAcentral's name for it is "partial small subunit ribosomal RNA". Lineage: Eukaryota; Viridiplantae; Streptophyta; Magnoliopsida; Poales; Poaceae. The record is from RNAcentral.